GACCUCUUAGCUCAGUGGUAGAGCGUGAGAUUCCAGCUUUUCUUGGAACCUCCUCAAGGUCGUCCGUUCAAUCCGGGCAGGGGUCA
Molecule: transfer RNA, 86 nt
Organism: Rhizoctonia solani
Lineage: Eukaryota; Fungi; Basidiomycota; Agaricomycetes; Cantharellales; Ceratobasidiaceae
Rfam family: tRNA
About the family: Transfer RNA (tRNA) molecules are approximately 80 nucleotides in length. Their secondary structure includes four short double-helical elements and three loops (D, anti-codon, and T loops).
Source: Rfam